Molecule: ribosomal RNA, 253 nt
Filed under: uncultured bacterium
Lineage: Bacteria
Description: partial 16S ribosomal RNA
Rfam family: Bacterial small subunit ribosomal RNA
Source: RNAcentral
UACGUAGGGGGCAAGCGUUGUCCGGAUUUAUUGGGCGUAAAGAGCGUGUAGGCGGCCAAGCAGGUCCGCUGUGAAAACUCGAGGCUCAACCUCGAGACGUCGGUGGAAACCGUUUGGCUAGAGUCCGGAAGAGGAGAGUGGAAUUCCUGGUGUAGCGGUGAAAUGCGCAGAUAUCAGGAAGAACACCCGUGGCUAAGGCGGCUCUCUAGUACGGUACUGACGCUGAGGAGCGAAAGCGUGGGGAGCGAACAGG